CAGCCGCCGCGGUAAUACGAAGGGUGCAAGCGUUAAUCGGAAUUACUGGGCGUAAAGCGUGCGUAGGCGGUGAGUUAAGUCUGCUGUGAAAUCCCCGGGCUCAACCUGGGAAUGGCAGUGGAUACUGGCUCGCUAGAGUGUGUCAGAGGAUUGGUGGAAUUCCCGGUGUAGCGGUGAAAUGCGUUGAGAUCGGAAAGAACACCAACGGCGAAAGCACUCUGCUGGGCCGACACUGACACUGAGAGACGAAAGCUAGGGGAGUAAAUGGGAUUAGAUACCCCAGUAGUCCCUGUCUCUUAUA
This 301-nucleotide ribosomal RNA is filed under the name uncultured bacterium. Its description in RNAcentral is "partial 16S ribosomal RNA". It matches the Rfam family "Bacterial small subunit ribosomal RNA", at positions 509 to 808 of the family's 1533-position model. The record is from RNAcentral.